Molecule: transfer RNA, 73 nt
Filed under: Canis lupus familiaris (dog)
Lineage: Eukaryota; Metazoa; Chordata; Mammalia; Carnivora; Canidae
Also listed under: 2 other names
Rfam family: tRNA
About the family: Transfer RNA (tRNA) molecules are approximately 80 nucleotides in length. Their secondary structure includes four short double-helical elements and three loops (D, anti-codon, and T loops). Further hydrogen bonds mediate the characteristic L-shaped molecular structure. tRNAs have two regions of fundamental functional importance: the anti-codon, which is responsible for specific mRNA codon recognition, and the 3' end, to which the tRNAs corresponding amino acid is attached (by aminoacyl-tRNA synthetases). tRNAs cope with the degeneracy of the genetic code in two manners: having more than one tRNA (with a specific anti-codon) for a particular amino acid; and 'wobble' base-pairing, i.e. permitting non-standard base-pairing at the 3rd anti-codon position.
Source: Rfam by way of RNAcentral
ACCUGGCUGGCUUAUUUGGUAGAGCAUGAGACUCCUGAUCUGAGGGUCAUGAGUUCAAGCCCCAUGUUGGGGA